This 253-nucleotide ribosomal RNA is filed under the name uncultured bacterium. Its description in RNAcentral is "partial 16S ribosomal RNA". It matches the Rfam family "Bacterial small subunit ribosomal RNA", at positions 524 to 776 of the family's 1533-position model. The record is from RNAcentral.
UACGAAGGGGGCUAGCGUUGUUCGGAAUUACUGGGCGUAAAGCGCGCGCAGGCGGCCUUUCAAGUCAGGGGUGAAAGCCCGGAGCUCAACUCCGGAAUUGCCUUUGAAACUGUCAGGCUCGAGUACGGGAGAGGUGAGUGGAAUUCCCAGUGUAGAGGUGAAAUUCGUAGAUAUUGGGAAGAACACCGGUGGCGAAGGCAGCUCGCUGGGACGGUAUUGACGCUGAGACGCGAAAGCGUGGGGAGCAAACAGG